UACGGGGGGAGCAAGCGUUGUUCGGAUUUACUGGGCGUAAAGGGCGCGUAGGCGGCACUGCAAGUCAGUUGUGAAAUCUCCGGGCUUAACCCGGAAAGGUCAACUGAUACUGCAGGGCUAGAGUGCAGAAGGGGCAACUGGAAUUCUCGGUGUAGCGGUGAAAUGCGUAGAGAUCAGGAGGAACACCCGUGGCGAAGGCGGCACUCUGGGUCGGCCCUGACGCUGAGGCGCGAAAGCGUGGGGAGCGAACGGG
RNAcentral lists this ribosomal RNA (253 nucleotides) under uncultured bacterium. RNAcentral's name for it is "partial 16S ribosomal RNA". It matches the Rfam family "Bacterial small subunit ribosomal RNA", at positions 524 to 776 of the family's 1533-position model. The record is from RNAcentral.